RNAcentral lists this ribosomal RNA (497 nucleotides) under uncultured bacterium. RNAcentral describes it as "partial 16S ribosomal RNA". It matches the Rfam family "Bacterial small subunit ribosomal RNA", at positions 28 to 507 of the family's 1533-position model. The record is from RNAcentral.
GAUGAACGCUGGCGGCGUGCCUAAUACAUGCAAGUCGAGCGAACAGACGAGGAGCUUGCUCCUCUGACGUUAGCGGCGGACGGGUGAGUAACACGUGGAUAACCUACUUCUAAGACUGGGAUAACUUCGGGAAACCGGAGCUACUACCGGAUAAUAUAUUGAACCGCAUGGUUCAAUAGUGAAAGACGGCUUUGCUGUCACUUAUAGAUGGAUCCGCGCCGCAUUAGCUAGUUGGUAAGGUAACGGCUUACCAAGGCAACGAUGCGUAGCCGACCUGAGAGGGUGAUCGGCCACACUGGAACUGAGACACGGUCCAGACUCCUACGGGAGGCAGCAGUAGGGAAUCUUCCGCAAUGGGCGAAAGCUUGACGGAGCAACGCCGCGUGAGUGAUGAAGGUCUUCGGAUCGUAAAACUCUGUUAUUAGGGAAGAACAAAUGUAUAAGUAACUAUGCACGUCUUGACGGUACCUAAUCAGAAAGCCACGGCUAACUACGUG